AUUGAACGCUGGCGGCAUGCCUUACACAUGCAAGUCGAACGGUAACGCGGGGCAACCUGGCGACGAGUGGCGAACGGGUGAGUAAUGCAUCGGAACGUGCCCAGUAGUGGGGGAUAGCCCGGCGAAAGCCGGAUUAAUACCGCAUACGACCUAAGGGUGAAAGGGGGGGAUCGCAAGACCUCUCGCGAUUGGAGCGGCCGAUGUCAGAUUAGGUAGUUGGUGGGGUAAAGGCCUACCAAGCCGACGAUCUGUAGCUGGUCUGAGAGGACGACCAGCCACACUGGGACUGAGACACGGCCCAGACUCCUACGGGAGGCAGCAGUGGGGAAUUUUGGACAAUGGACGCAAGUCUGAUCCAGCCAUGCCGCGUGCGGGAAGAAGGCCUUCGGGUUGUAAACCGCUUUUGUCAGGGAAGAAAUCUUCUGGGCUAAUACCUCGGGAGGAUGACGGUACCUGAAGAAUAAGCACCGGCUAACUACGUGCCAGCAGCCGCCGUAA
Molecule: ribosomal RNA, 498 nt
Filed under: uncultured bacterium
Lineage: Bacteria
Description: partial 16S ribosomal RNA
Rfam family: Bacterial small subunit ribosomal RNA
Source: RNAcentral